AUUCUGGAAUUGGAAAGGUCAUCUUGUUCCAAUGUUCCUGCAGGGAACACCCGGGUAGGGGCACCUUCCACUAUCCCAGGGUGCUGCAAGCCCCGUCCAGCCUG
This is a non-coding RNA of Turdus rufiventris (rufous-bellied thrush), 104 nucleotides long. NCBI's taxonomy places the organism in Eukaryota, Metazoa, Chordata, Aves, Passeriformes, Turdidae. The record is from the annotation of a GenBank genome assembly.